RNAcentral lists this ribosomal RNA (254 nucleotides) under uncultured bacterium. RNAcentral describes it as "partial 16S ribosomal RNA". It matches the Rfam family "Archaeal small subunit ribosomal RNA", at positions 474 to 727 of the family's 1478-position model. RNAcentral also lists the same sequence under 1 other name. The record is from RNAcentral.
CACCGGCGGCCCGAGUGGUGGCCAUUAUUAUUGGGUCUAAAGGGUCCGUAGCCGGUUUGAUCAGUCUUCCGGGAAAUCUGACAGCUCAACUGUUAGGCUUCUGGGGGAUACUGUCAGACUUGGAACCGGGAGAGGUAAGAGGUACUACAGGGGUAGGAGUGAAAUCUUGUAAUCCUUGUGGGACCACCAGUGGCGAAGGCGUCUUACCAGAACGGGUUCGACGGUGAGGGACGAAAGCUGGGGGCACGAACCGG